Molecule: long non-coding RNA, 691 nt
Organism: Triticum dicoccoides
Lineage: Eukaryota; Viridiplantae; Streptophyta; Magnoliopsida; Poales; Poaceae
Exons: 2
Source: RefSeq, a predicted model, not a curated record
UUCUCUGUGCCGAAUCCUUCCUCUGCAAUCCAUUCCUCCUCCUUCCUCUCCAAGCCAUCCUCUCCUCCCUCCCCUCGCUCGAUCUAGAUUCCUCUCUCGCUCCUGGGGGUGUUACACUCUGCCGACACGUUCCCUGCGCAUCACUGCAACUACCCGCGGUUAAUGUUGAUGCAACAAUCUCGCGGCGAGGAGUGCGUGCGGAAGGCUAGUAAGCACAUGCUGCGCGCCCUGCGGCGCGCCCGUGGCCCGUUCGAUGAAAUUCCUCGCCGGGGCGCCUCGCGGCGGCGGCUGCUGGCGCCGAGGAUGCUGUUGCGGGUGUACGUGGGCAUCCUGGCGUGCGGAGCCAGGCCCUACGCGCGCCGUUGCUCAAUGCGCGCGCCAUGGAGCCGGCUGUGGGGACGCCGUUCAUGCGCACGUCGUGGCUAAGUUUGGGCUAGAGCUCAACCUGAACGCCCACUUGCCAAAGCUCGCUGGUCCUCACGGUGAGGAGGAUAUCCAUAUGUUUUACAGAAUGCUCCAGAUGAAGUGACAGUCAUCGCUCAUCGGUGCAUAGUGAAACCAGGUGUAGCCUUUUAUAUGUUCAAUGCUUUCUUCUCUCUGGAGGCAAUUUACACUAGUUUUCCGUCCACUGAUGAAGUAAAGCACUUAAUUGUAGCAGCAAUAAUAUGCAUAGUACAAAAUUAAUUACUCA